Molecule: ribosomal RNA, 301 nt
Filed under: uncultured bacterium
Lineage: Bacteria
Description: partial 16S ribosomal RNA
Rfam family: Bacterial small subunit ribosomal RNA
Source: RNAcentral
CAGCCGCCACGGUAAUACGAGGGGGGCAAGCGUUGUUCGGAAUCACUGGGCGUAAAGGGAGCGUAGGCGGCGUGGUAAGUCAGAUGUGGAAUCCCGGGGCUCAACCCCGGAACUGCAUCCGAUACUGCCAUGCUAGAGGAUUGGAGAGGUAGCUGGAAUUCUUGGUGUAGCAGUGAAAUGCGUGGAGAUCAAGAGGAACACUCGUGGCGAAAGCGAGCUACUGGACAAUAACUGACGCUGAGGCUCGAAGGCCAGGGUAGCGAAAGGGAUUAGAUACCCGCGUAGUCCCUGUCUCUUAUAU